AACGAACGCUGGCGGCAUGCCUAACACAUGCAAGUCGAGCGCCCCCCUAGGGUAGCGUCCGACGGGGGAGUAUAGCGUGGGAACGUACCCUUAUCUUUGGGAAAGCUCCGGGAAACUGGAAUUAAUAUAGCAUGUGCUCUUUUGGGGCCAGAUAUGUCUGAUGAGGGUGGGCCCGCGUCGUAUUAGCUAGUUGGUGGGGUAAAGGCCGAUCAAGGCGACGAUCCAUAGCGGGUCUGAGAGGAUGAUCCGCCACACUGGGACUGUGACACGGCCCAGAAUCCUACGGGAGGCAGCAGUGGGGAAUAUUGCCAAAUCGGCGGAAGCAUGAUCCAGCUAUGCCGCGUGAGUGAUGAAGGCCUUAGGGUUGUAAAGCUCUUUCACCCGGGAUGAUAAUGACGGUACCCGGAGAAGAAGCCCCGGCUAACUUCGUG
RNAcentral lists this ribosomal RNA (431 nucleotides) under uncultured bacterium. RNAcentral describes it as "partial 16S ribosomal RNA". It matches the Rfam family "Bacterial small subunit ribosomal RNA", at positions 29 to 507 of the family's 1533-position model. The record is from RNAcentral.